UACGUAGGGCGCAAGCGUUGUCCGGAAUUAUUGGGCGUAAAGCGCUCGUAGGCGGUUUGUCGCGUCGGAUGUGAAAGCCCGGGGCUUAACCCCGGGUCUGCAUUCGAUACGGGCAGACUGGAGUGUGGUAGGGGAGAUCGGAAUUCCUGGUGUAGCGGUGAAAUGCGCAGAUAUCAGGAGGAACACCGGUGGCGAAGGCGGAUCUCUGGGCCAUUACUGACGCUGAGGAGCGAAAGCGUGGGGAGCGAACAGG
RNAcentral lists this ribosomal RNA (253 nucleotides) under uncultured bacterium. Its description in RNAcentral is "partial 16S ribosomal RNA". It matches the Rfam family "Bacterial small subunit ribosomal RNA", at positions 524 to 776 of the family's 1533-position model. The record is from RNAcentral.